This 253-nucleotide ribosomal RNA is filed under the name uncultured bacterium. RNAcentral's name for it is "partial 16S ribosomal RNA". It matches the Rfam family "Bacterial small subunit ribosomal RNA", at positions 524 to 776 of the family's 1533-position model. The record is from RNAcentral.
UACGUAGGGACCGAGCGUUGUCCGGAUUCAUUGGGCGUAAAGAGCUCGUAGGCGGCCACUCAAGUCGAAUGUGAAACCUCGAGGCUUAACCUCGAGCCUGCAUUCGAUACUGGGCGGCUAGAGUCUGGUAGGGGGAUCUGGAAUUCCUGGUGUAGCGGUGGAAUGCGCAGAUAUCAGGAGGAACACCGGUGGCGAAGGCGCUCAUCUGGCCCAAUACUGACGCUGAGGCGCGAAAGCUAGGGGAGCAAACGGG